This 459-nucleotide ribosomal RNA is filed under the name uncultured bacterium. RNAcentral's name for it is "partial 16S ribosomal RNA". It matches the Rfam family "Bacterial small subunit ribosomal RNA", at positions 338 to 795 of the family's 1533-position model. The record is from RNAcentral.
CCUACGGGUGGCAGCAGUGAGGAAUAUUGGUCAAUGGGCGGAAGCCUGAACCAGCCAAGUCGCGUGAGGGAUUAAGGCCCUGCGGGUCGUAAACCUCUUUUGCCGGGGAGCAGUGGUCCGGACGCGUCCGGACCGGGAGAGUACCCGGAGAAAAAGCAUCGGCUAACUCCGUGCCAGCAGCCGCGGUAAUACGGAGGCCCGAGCGUUAUCCGGAUUCAUUGGGCUUAAAGGGAGCGUAGGCGGGCGUUCAAGUCAGCUAUAAAAUCACGCGGCUCAACCGCGCCCCGCAGUUGAAACUGGACGCCUUGAGUUCACAACAGGCAGGCGGAAUGCGCAGUGUAGCGGUGAAAUGCUUAGAUAUUGCGCAGAACUCCGAUUGCGAAGGCAGCAUACCGGCGGCGAUCUGACGCUGAGGCACGAAAGCGUGGGUAUCGAACAGGAUUAGAUACCCGGGUAGUC